GAUGAACGCUGGCGGCGUGCCUAAUACAUGCAAGUCGAGCGAACAGACGAGGAGCUUGCUCCUCUGACUUUAGCGGCGGACGGGUGAGUAACACGUGGAUAACCUACCUAUAAGACUGGGAUAACUUCGUGAAACCGGAGCUAAUACCGGAUAAUAUAUUGAACCGCAUGGUUCAAUAGUUAAAGACGGUUUUGCUGUCACUUAUAGAUGGAUCCGCGCCGCAUUAGCUAGUUGGUAAGGUAACGGCUUACCAAGGCGACGAUGCGUAGCCGACCUGAGAGGGUGAUCGGCCACACUGGAACUGAGACACGGUCCAGACUCCUACGGGAGGCAGCAGUAGGGAAUCUUCCGCAAUGGGCGAAAGCCUGACGGAGCAACGCCGCGUGAGUGAUGAAGGUCUUCGGAUCGUAAAACUCUGUUAUUAGGGAAGAACAAAUGUGUAAGUAACUAUGCACGUAUUGACGGUACCUAAUCAGAAAGCCACGGCUAACUACGUG
RNAcentral lists this ribosomal RNA (497 nucleotides) under uncultured bacterium. Its description in RNAcentral is "partial 16S ribosomal RNA". It matches the Rfam family "Bacterial small subunit ribosomal RNA", at positions 28 to 507 of the family's 1533-position model. The record is from RNAcentral.